Molecule: ribosomal RNA, 785 nt
Filed under: Hypselosoma cf. pauliani Madagascar_2037
Lineage: Eukaryota; Metazoa; Arthropoda; Insecta; Hemiptera; Schizopteridae
Description: SSU rRNA
Rfam family: Eukaryotic small subunit ribosomal RNA
Source: RNAcentral
AUGAGUACACUUUAAAUCCUUUAACAAGGAUCCAUUGGAGGGCAAGUCUGGUGCCAGCAGCCGCGGUAAUUCCAGCUCCAAUAGCGUAUAUUAAAGCUGUUGCGGUUAAAAAGCUCGUAAUUGGUUCUGUGUGACAUGCUGUUGGUUCACCGCCUGUCGGUGUAACUGACAUGUCGUGGGACGUCCUGUUGGUGGUAGUUAAACUGGCCAACUUUACAGAGCCUGUCUCUGUAUAUUGUUGGUGAUGUUUAAUUGCCGAUUAAACCUGCCGCGGUGCUCUUUACUGAGUGUCGAGGGAGGCCGACAUGUUUACUUUGAACAAAUUAGAGUGAUUAAAGCAGGCAAAUAUUUGCCUGAAUAGUGGUGCAUGGAAUAAUGGAAUAAGACUUUGGUUCUAAUUUGUUGGUUUUUCGGAAUCCAAGGUAAUGAUCAAUAUGGACGGUCGGGGGCAUUCGUAUUGCGACGUUAGAGGUGAAAUUCUUGGAUCGUCGCAAGACGAACUAGAGCGAAAGCAUUUGCCAAGUAUGUCUUAAUUGAUCAAGAACGAAAGUUAGAGGUUCGAAGGCGAUCAGAUACCGCCCUAGUUCUAACCAUAAACGAUGUCAGCCAGCAAUCCGCCGAGUUUUUUUCAUGACUCGACGGGCGGCUUCAGGGAAACCAAAGCUUUUGGGUUCCGGGGGAAGUAUGGUUGCAAAGCUGAAACUUAAAGGAAUUGACGGAAGGGCACCACCAGGAGUGGAGCCUGCGGCUUAAUUUGACUCAACACGGGAAACCUCACCAGGCCC